UAUAAUAUGACAUAUAUGUCACACACACACACACACACACACACACACACACAAAGAUAUUCUUGUCAAAGGGAUUCUGUUUAAAAAGAAGUUUGAAAACCAAAACCUUGAGCUUUUAAUACAAUGUCUUCUCUCUUCCAGGGGCAUUUGGUUUUGAAGUCGUUACUAAUUACCACUUGGAGGAUAGAAAGCUUUGUCCCAGUUGAAAGCAUUUUAGGCUUUUACUGAGCUGAUGAAGGCAUUACUUUUUGGAUAGUGACUUAUUUCUGGGGUAUCUACUGUCCACCUCCACCCCCUACAUCAGCAGUCCUGGCUGGUGUUAAGGAAUGAAGAAGGAAUUGGAUGGUCGGAAGCCAGCAAGCUGUUAAUGUCAUUUGUCUUAAAGGGUUUUUGUUAUCCUUGCUGUUUUGUUAGCAUCCAGCCAGCUAGGAGGCCAGUGUUGACUGGGUUGAUGGAGGAGGGUUGGGAGUGUUCGCAGACACAGGUGAAGUACUCGCUUCUCUUGCUGGCCUGCUGGGUGGCGGCUGGUUUUGUUAGCUCUCGAUCCCCUUUCCUCUGAGCCACUUCUACUCCGCAGCUCCGUGGGUGGCAUCUCCAUCCUUCUGCUUCCCAGAGGCCAAGUCUUCCUCCCAAAAGUGUCUCCCUGGGUCUCCCCUCCCCAUUGCAGGCGCCAAGCUCUGGCCUUUCAUUCUGUGUCAAACUCCUGCAGGCCUUUAUGCAAUGGUCAGAUGGUGGCCAGAGCGCUGAAUUGGAAGUCCAAGAACCUGGUCUUGAGUCUUGAAUUACUCAGCAGCCAUGAACCUUGGGUUAGUUACACGUUCUCCAGAGUCUCAGCUUCUUAGUCGGCAAACGGGAAUAACCACCCCAGCCUUCCCACGACCAGCCUUUAUCACUAUCUGCGUGAACAUCUUCAAGUCCCUCACUGGAGCAGAGUUUCUCAAAUCGCGGUUCCAGGGCCACGUUUCCUUAAGCAAGAUACCCAGGAUGGGAUCCAGGAAUCUGCAUUUUCAGAAGCUCCCUGAGUUUCUUUUGAACACUUCGAGUUCUUUUGAAGUUUGAGAGCCAGUCGGCUGGGUCCCUGGACUGUGGGUUCAGAAUGUAUGGGGGAAGACCUGUUGCAAUCUCUCAUAGACCACCCAGUUGCUCCUCCAGACCCUGCCCUGCAGAUGGGAAUCCAACUCCUGGAGUAUAACAGUGGUCUUGGGGAGCAUCUCUAAUGUUCUAGAGAAAUCCUAGGUAUUUUCCAAGUUACCUUAGGAGUGUGUGGGAGUGUGGCUGUC
Molecule: long non-coding RNA, 1280 nt
Filed under: Equus caballus (horse)
Lineage: Eukaryota; Metazoa; Chordata; Mammalia; Perissodactyla; Equidae
Description: lncRNA (ENSECAG00000056690.1)
Source: RNAcentral